This 497-nucleotide ribosomal RNA is filed under the name uncultured bacterium. Its description in RNAcentral is "partial 16S ribosomal RNA". It matches the Rfam family "Bacterial small subunit ribosomal RNA", at positions 28 to 507 of the family's 1533-position model. The record is from RNAcentral.
GAUGAACGCUGGCGGCGUGCCUAAUACAUGCAAGUCGAGCGAACAGAUGAGGAUCUUGCUCCUCUGACGUUAGCGGCGGACGGGUGAGUAACACGUGUAUAACCUACCUAUAAGACUGGGAUAACUUCGGGAAACCGGAGCUAAUACCGUAUAAUAUAUUGAACCGCAUGGUUCAAUAGUGAAAGACGGUUUUGCUGUCACUUAUAGAUGGAUCCGCGCCGCAUUAGCUAGUUGGUAAGGUAACGGCUUACCAAGGCAACGAUGCGUAGCCGACCUGAGAGGGGGAUAGGCCACACUGGAACUGAGACACCGUCCAGACUCCUACGGGAGGCAGCAGUAGGGAAUCGUCGGCAAUGGGCGAAAGCAUGACGGAGCAACGGCGCGUGAGUGAUGAAGGUCUUCGGAUCGUAAAACUCGGUUAUGAGGGAAGAACAAAUGUGGAAGUAACUAUGCACGGAUUGACGGUAACUAAUAAGAAAGCAACGGCUAACUACGUG